Molecule: non-coding RNA, 80 nt
Organism: Bos taurus (domestic cattle)
Lineage: Eukaryota; Metazoa; Chordata; Mammalia; Artiodactyla; Bovidae
Source: Rfam
UUCCUGGUAGCUCAGCGGUAAAGUAUCUGCCUGCAAUGCAGAAGAUGCAGGAGACCCAGGUUCAAUCCCUGGGUUGGGAA